Molecule: small nuclear RNA, 106 nt
Organism: Onychomys torridus (southern grasshopper mouse)
Lineage: Eukaryota; Metazoa; Chordata; Mammalia; Rodentia; Cricetidae
Source: RefSeq, a predicted model, not a curated record
GUGCUCCUUCGGCAGCAUAUAUUCUAAAAUCGGAACGAUGCAGAGAAGAUUAGCAUGGCCCCUGCACAAGGAUGACAUGUAAAUUCGGGAAGUGUUCCAUAUUAAA